RNAcentral lists this transfer-messenger RNA (332 nucleotides) under Aquificota bacterium. RNAcentral's name for it is "Aquificae bacterium (hydrothermal vent metagenome) partial transfer-messenger RNA". It matches the Rfam family "transfer-messenger RNA". Rfam says of the family: Bacterial tmRNA, also known as 10Sa RNA or SsrA, is named for its dual tRNA and mRNA-like properties. Its role is to liberate the mRNA from a stalled ribosome. The record is from RNAcentral. Lineage: Bacteria; Pseudomonadati; Aquificota.
UUCGACGGGGACCGGCGCUCCCCGAGGAGCAGGCCGGGUGGCACCCGUAACAGCCGCGCGAAACAGCUCCCGAAGCUGAACUCGCUCUCGCCGCCUAAUUAAAGGCGGCGCGUCCCCCGCGGGGUUGCGGGCGCCUCGCGGGAGGGCGUCAGAGGAGCCCGCUCGGGCAGCGCUCCCGCCCGCCGGAGCGCUGCCGACACGCUCGGCGGGCUACCUCCGGGGAGCUUGCCCGUGGGCGACCCGGAGGGAAAACCGCUACACGGGCUAAGCCUGUAGAGCCUCGGACGGGGCGCCGUCCUCGGACGCGGGUUCGAUUCCCGCCGCCUCCACCA